This 224-nucleotide ribosomal RNA is filed under the name uncultured Clostridium sp. Its description in RNAcentral is "partial 16S ribosomal RNA". It matches the Rfam family "Bacterial small subunit ribosomal RNA", at positions 568 to 791 of the family's 1533-position model. Lineage: Bacteria; Bacillati; Bacillota; Clostridia; Eubacteriales; Clostridiaceae. The record is from RNAcentral.
AGCGUAGGCGGACUUUUAAGUGAGAUGUGAAAUACCCGGGCUCAACUUGGGUGCUGCAUUUCAAACUGGAAGUCUAGAGUGCAGGAGAGGAAAGCGGAAUUCCUAGUGUAGCGGUGAAAUGCGUAGAGAUUAGGAAGAACACCAGUGGCGAAGGCGGCUUUCUGGACUGUAACUGACGCUCAUGUACGAAAGCGUGGGGAGCAAACAGGAUUAGAUACCCUGUA